UAUUCUAUGUUGCAUAGCGUGGAUGGGGAGUUCGGAGGGGACCGGGACAGGGUGGUCAUUGGCAGUCUAAAGAAAAACGUGCAGUUCUGGGAAGAAAUCGGAGCACCAAAGUUAGUACUUGAAGUAAUCAAUAAUGGAUACACGCUGCCGUUUGUUAGAUUGCCAAGGCCCAGGUGGUCAGACAACCACAAAAGUACACAUGAGUUUCCAGAUUUUGUCGGGGAGGCCAUUUCAGAUAUGCGUUCUCGCGGUUGUAUUAAAGAGGUUAACAGAGACCAAGUGUCAGUGUGUAGCCCGUUGGGAGUGGUGGAUAAUGGGAAGAAGCUGAGGCUUAUUCUGGACCUAAGGUACCUCAACAAACACCUGGCUAAAUUCAAGUUCAAACUGGAAGAUUUGAAGGUGGUGGCAGAUGUAUAUGAGAAGAACGAUUUCUUGGUUACAUUCGACUUGAAGAGUGGCUACCACCACAUUGCUAUAGCAGAAAGCCACUGGAGGUAUCUUGGUUUCAGUUGGGUAACCCCCCAGGGAAAAGCAGCAUACUAUACGUUUUGCGUCUUGCCGUUUGGUUUGUCAACCGCCCCUUACAUUUUUACAAAGGUAACCAGGGUGCUAGUGCGUCGUUGGAGGGCAAUGGGUAUACGUUGCCAACUGUACAUGGACGAUGGGUCGGGAGGACAUGCUUCCAAAGCAGGUGCUCACAAGGUAGCAAAUCAAAUGAAGAAAGAUCUCCAAAACGCAGGAUUUGUAGCUAAUGAAAAGAAAUGCCGUUGGGAGCCCUCUCAGGUUGUAGAGAUGUUGGGUAUGGUGGUUGACCUACGCGUUGGAGCCAUCCGAGCCUCCGAAAAGCGUGUUAAAAAGCUUAAGUCGAUGCUCAGCACAAUGUCAGGUAGCAGGCAACCAUCAGCUAAGCUGGUAGCAAGGAUGACUGGAAUGAUAAUGUCCAUGUCGCUGGCCCUGGGCCAGAUUUGCAGGCUGAGGACUAGAGCAUUCUACCACAUGAUCCUAUUGAGGAAGUCAUGGGCAGCUCAAACAGUUUGGUCAAAGGAGGCAAUUGAUGACCUGAAGUUCUGGAAAGAAUCUUUUGACAAAUUGCAUGGCCAGCCUUUCUGGAAGAAGGACCCACGUGUUGUAGUUAUCUGUUGGUCAGAUGCCAGCGACACUGGCUGGGGAGGUUUCAUGGAGGGGAGGUUGGGUGUGCAUGUUGCGAAGGGUGAAUGGCCAGGUGAAAUCAAAGAAAAGAGACUAAGUUCUACUUGGCGUGAGCUUAGGGCUGUUAAGCUUGUUCUGGAGUCAUUGGCACCAAAGAUUGCUGGGAAGGCUUGCAUACAUCGCACAGACAACCAGGCAGCGGCACACAUUAUCGAAAACGGUAGCCGCAAAGAGCAUUUGCAAGAGGAAGCUAUGGCAAUACACAAAUUGUGCAGGCGUUUUAGCGUGAGGAUUAGGGCAGAAUGGGUACCUCGGGAAGAGAACGAGCUGGCUGAUUAUUAUUCGAAGGUUGUUGACCAAGACGAUUGGCAAUUGAACCCUGCAUUAUUCCGCGAAAUGGAGGGGAGAUGGGGCCCCUACAGCCUAGAUUGUUUUGCCAGUUUUAAGACUAAGCAGCUCAGUAAGUACUGCUCCCGGUGGUGGAACCCAGAGUGCUUUGCGAUUGAUGCGUUCACAGUGGAUUGGUCCAUUGAAAGGGUGUGGAUGGUUCCCCCUAUCUACCUUAUUUCACGUACAAUCGAUAUGCUGCUAGCAUGCAGAACCCAUGGCACUCUUGUUGUACCAGAGUGGCGGUCAGCCCCAUGGUGGCCAAAAUUGCAUGACGGAGCUGCGUGGUACGGAUUUGUGAAAGAGUGCGUGUGGUUGCCAAAGGAUGAGAAUACAUUCUUGCAGGGGUCAUGCCCAUGGAAUUUGUUUGGUUACGGCAUGCCGAAGUCCGAGAUCAUUGCUUUGAAAUUGUGCGCAGUUAGUGGCUGUGAUUGCUGACAGCAUACCUGGCGCGUGUUUGUAUGCGGGAGAGCCUGAGUAUGUCUGACGGUGCAUGAAAUGAGAGCUUGCGGAAGUUUGCCUCCAUGCUACAGGUGCGGUAGGGCAAGUGCUAUAGGCACACAUACAGCUAUAAGCUCCCCGGUUAACACGUACAGAUGUAUCAACUAGAAGUUGCACCCAGAGCACUAGCUUCGCAAAGAGUGGUGCAUACGGUCAUGCACGGAGUUGUGCUACAGGCAUACAUGGACACUACAGGUGUUAACCCGAGCAGCAGGCAUGAUAAGGGUGAAAGCUACAGGCUUACAAUUAUGACUCAAGGUGCUGCGGCAGAGCCAGCCGAGCGCGGACGCUACAAGCAAUCGAGCUAAGGGGGAGGAGGCAGUCAGUGGCGCAGAAGUGAUCAUGCUGUUCUCCGACUGUGUGCUACAGGCAAGUCAAGUCAACAGCCAGAACGCAUGUCUCGCUGCUUGGCAGUCUAUAUGCCGCCAGCUAUGCUUUGUGCUUCUUGGAGCAGCUGUUGCUGCGACCCUGCAGUUCUAUUGUUGUUGUUGUGGUGUGUACGAGAGAGUCGAAAAGAAAUGUCUCAUUUCUUGUUGGAUGAGAGCAACGAAGUAAACAAGAAAUGCUGUUCUUUUCGAAACGCGAGUGCACAGUCCAGAGUUCACGGACUGUGCUGGGAGUGUGGUACGCACUGGCUGCACAGUGCGGAGUUGCAGCAUGCACAUGAAGGUGCAUGCUGGUCUGAAGACAGUGUUCUUUUUGUUCUUGCACUGCUGCUGUACAGUUGCGAAUCCCACCCGCCCACCCAAUUGGAUAGCCAUUGCUAGAUAUGUAUGUGCAUAUGGAUUUAUUGGCUGAGUAAGCAGUAGUGCGUGUAUGUGGCGAGCAUGUUUCCGUGUGUGGGCCAAUUUCAGAUAAUUCUGUAUUAAGGUAGCACAUUGGCUUUUUUUUUUUUUAGACUGGCCCAUUUGGGGUUAUUCAGCAUCUCCACCAUUGUCGCUGGCGGCAAUUCCCAUUAAUCAGUGCACUAGGCCGUGGUGAACGCAUUUCGAUCGGAAGUUCAUGUAUCCAUUGUCCCAUGGCUUGGAUCGCUUGCUGUCUUGCGUUGUUUUCCUUUUGUUAUGCUAAAGUGAUGUGUACCAGGCUGCCAUGAUUAUGUUUAAAUGCUGUGUGCCUGUGGCAUAGUAAUAUUAAUACACAUGCGGUGCAAGAAUUGGAGCAGCUGUUGCUGCGACCCUGCA
Long non-coding RNA from Sycon ciliatum, 3218 nucleotides. RefSeq lists it as uncharacterized. The record is from RefSeq and is a predicted model, not a curated record. The transcript is spliced from 2 exons. NCBI's taxonomy places the organism in Eukaryota, Metazoa, Porifera, Calcarea, Leucosolenida, Sycettidae.